Molecule: small RNA, 31 nt
Filed under: Bombyx mori (domestic silkworm)
Lineage: Eukaryota; Metazoa; Arthropoda; Insecta; Lepidoptera; Bombycidae
Description: ovarian small RNA-15155
Source: RNAcentral
GAACGAAGUACGGCUUGGCGACCACAGCCAC